AGGCUAAGGAAAGCAUUGCGCAUGCGGGAAACCCACGCUGAGGGAAGAAUCAUGGGAAAGAGUAGAGACGGGGUUCCACCGUGUUAGCCAGGAUGGUCUCGAUUUCCUGACCUCGUCAUCCUCCCGCCUUGGCCUCCCAAAGUGCUGGGAUUACAGGCUUGAGCCACCGCGCCCCGCUCUUUCGUGUUCCAAAGGCUUUUUAAAUAAACUUCCACUCCUGUCCUGGAUUCUGCUUUAUGGCCCUCAGUCGAAUUCUUUCUUCUGAGGAGGCAAGGACUGAAGUUGCUUCUGACCAGUACAGAUUGGGAAGGAGAAAGUCACUUGACUCACAGGCCAACUGCUAUGGACUGAAUUGUGUCUUCCCCUCAUUAAUAUGUUGAAACCCUAUCCUCCCUCCAAUGUGAUGGUAUUUGCAGAUGGGGCUUUUGGGAAGUAAUGAAGUUUAGAUGAGGCAUGAGGGCUGGAUGGAUAUGAUCAGAUGAGUGCCCAAAGAAGAGACACCAGAGAGCUAGCUUCUUCUUUCUCUUUCCACCUUUACACACUGAGAAAAGGCCAAGUGAGCACACACCAAGAAGGCAGCCAUCUGCAAACCCAAGGAGAGAGUCCUCACUAGACACCCUGCUGGUACCUUGAUCUUGGACUUCUAGCCUCCAGAACUGUGAGAAAUAAAUUCCUGUUGUUCAAGCUAGUAUUAAUACCUGGUGUUUUGUUAUGGCAGCCUAAGUGACUAAGACACCAACUUAAUUUACUUAGCCAGGGUCAAUCAGUGGUAGGGCCCAGGAUUCUGACCCAGUUCUGCCUAACUCCACAAUUCAUGCUUUUUCUGGAUAUAAACAUCUGCCUUCCCAGUUUCCCUGACUCUUAGAGCCGUGGAGCAGUGUGUGUCAUGUGCUGCACACCCAGGCUGGAACAGCCUGUCUCCAGGAGAAAACGAAUACAGCAGGGAUGACUUCCACCAGCUCCACUUUGCAGCUCUGAGGUGUAUUAAAAAUGACCUGGAAGAAGUCAUGCCACGGGCCAGACCUUAACAUUCCUUUCGGCUUACCCCAGGAUUUCAGACAAAGCUUCACUUUCCUAACCAGUCACAAAUCAGAGAAUUUUUGAUUCCACCUAUGACCUGUGAGCUCCUGCUUCAAGAUAUUCCACCUUUUUUAGGCCAAACCAAUGUAUAACCUCCAAGUGUCGAUUUACACUUUCGACUGUAACUUCUGCUUUCCUGAGAUUUACCCCUGCCUUUAAAAACCCUUGCUUGUAAUCCCUCAGGGAGGCCGUGUAUUUAUUAAUCAUGAGCUGCCCAAUUCUCCUUGCUUGGUGCCCUGCAAAUAAACACCCUCUUUUCUCCCACUGCAAAA
Molecule: long non-coding RNA, 1352 nt
Filed under: Homo sapiens (human)
Lineage: Eukaryota; Metazoa; Chordata; Mammalia; Primates; Hominidae
Description: PPP1R3B divergent transcript
Source: RNAcentral